This 346-nucleotide ribosomal RNA is filed under the name uncultured bacterium. Its description in RNAcentral is "bacterial SSU rRNA". It matches the Rfam family "Bacterial small subunit ribosomal RNA", at positions 556 to 901 of the family's 1533-position model. The record is from RNAcentral.
GGGUAUAAAGUGCGCGUAGGCGGUUGUGUAAGUUGGAUGUGAAAUCCCCGGGCUUAACCUGGGCACUGCAUUCAAAACUGCACGGCUAGAGUAUGGGAGAGGAAGGUAGAAUUCCAGGUGUAGCGGUGAAAUGCGUAGAGAUCUGGAGGAAUACCGAUGGCGAAGGCAGCCUUCUGGCCUAAUACUGACGCUGAGGUGCGAAAGCAUGGGGAGCAAACAGGAUUAGAUACCCUGGUAGUCCAUGCCGUAAACGAUGUCGACUAGGUGUUGGGGAACUUGAUUCCUUAGUGCCGCAGCUAACGCAUUAAGUCGACCGCCUGGGGAGUACGACCGCAAGGUUAAAACU